RNAcentral lists this ribosomal RNA (492 nucleotides) under uncultured bacterium. RNAcentral's name for it is "partial 16S ribosomal RNA". It matches the Rfam family "Bacterial small subunit ribosomal RNA", at positions 29 to 507 of the family's 1533-position model. The record is from RNAcentral.
AGUGAACGCUGGCGGUAGGCCUAACACAUGCAAGUCGAACGGCAGCACAGUAAGAGCUUGCUCUUACGGGUGGCGAGUGGCGGACGGGUGAGGAAUACAUCGGAAUCUACUUUUUCGUGGGGGAUAACGUAGGGAAACUUACGCUAAUACCGCAUACGACCUACGGGUGAAAGCAGGGGAUCUUCGGACCUUGCGCGAUUGAAUGAGCCGAUGUCGGAUUAGCUAGUUGGCGGGGUAAAGGCCCACCAAGGCGACGAUCCGUAGCUGGUCUGAGAGGCUGAUCAGCCACAUUGGAACUGAGACACGGUCCAGACUCCUACGGGAGGCAGCAGUGGGGAAUAUUGGACAAUGGGCGCAAGCCUGAUCCAGCCAUACCGCGUGGGUGAAGAAGGCCUUCGGGUUGUAAAGCCCUUUUGUUGGGAAAGAAAAGCAGCAGGUUAAUACCCCGCUGUUCUGACGGUACCCAAAGAAUAAGCACCGGCUAACUUCGUG